RNAcentral lists this ribosomal RNA (308 nucleotides) under Klebsiella aerogenes. Its description in RNAcentral is "partial 23S ribosomal RNA". It matches the Rfam family "Bacterial large subunit ribosomal RNA", at positions 2641 to 2925 of the family's 2925-position model. The record is from RNAcentral. Lineage: Bacteria; Pseudomonadati; Pseudomonadota; Gammaproteobacteria; Enterobacterales; Enterobacteriaceae.
CUGCCGGUGGGCGCUGGAGAAUUGAGGGGGGCUGCUCCUAGUACGAGAGGACCGGAGUGGACGCAUCACUGGUGUUCGGGUUGUCAUGCCAAUGGCACUGCCCGGUAGCUACAUGCGGAAGAGAUAAGUGCUGAAAGCAUCUAAGCACGAAACUUGCCCCGAGAUGAGUUCUCCCUGAGACUUUAAGUCUCCUGAAGGAACGUUGAAGACGACGACGUUGAUAGGCCGGGUGUGUAAGCGCAGCGAUGCGUUGAGCUAACCGGUACUAAUGAGCCGUGAGGCUUAACCUUACAACGCCAGAGUGGUUU